RNAcentral lists this microRNA precursor (168 nucleotides) under Pelobates cultripes (western spadefoot toad). The record is from RNAcentral. Lineage: Eukaryota; Metazoa; Chordata; Amphibia; Anura; Pelobatidae.
GCAGACACAUACCAGCCAAUCAGCAGCAGACCCUCCCUCCCAGACCCUCCCAUCUCCUGGACAGCUCACUAAGAAUGCAGCUUCACAAUGAAUGUAAAAUGGAUGCUGUCCAGGAGGUGGGAGGGUCUGGGAGGGAGGGUCUGCUGCUGAUUGGCUGGAAUGUGUCUG